GAACGCUGGCGGCAUGCUUAACACAUGCAAGUCGAACGGAAACAGCAGAGCUUGCUCUGGCUGUCGAGUGGCGGACGGGUGAGUAACGCGUGGGAAUCUACCCAGUAUGGGGGAUAGCCAGGAGAAAUCCUGAUUAUACCGCAUACGAUCUACGGAUGAAAGGUGGCCAUCCUUGGAAGCUAUCGCUAUUGGAUGAGCUCGCGUUAGAUUAGCUAGUUGGUGGGGUAAAGGCCUACCAAGGCGACGAUCUAUAGCUGGUCUGAGAGGAUGAUCAGCCACAUCGGGACUGAGACACGGCCCGGACUCCUACGGGAGGCAGCAGUGGGGAAUAUUGGACAAUGGGCGCAAGCCUGAUCCAGCAAUGCCGCGUGUGUGAAGAAGGCCUUAGGGUUGUAAAGCACUUUCAAUUGUGAAGAAGGGGUUAAGGUUAAUACCCCUUGAUCUUUGACGUUAACUUUAGAAGAAGCACCGGCUAACUCUGUG
Molecule: ribosomal RNA, 483 nt
Filed under: uncultured bacterium
Lineage: Bacteria
Description: bacterial SSU rRNA
Rfam family: Bacterial small subunit ribosomal RNA
Source: RNAcentral